GAUGAACGCUGGCGGCGUGCCUAAUACAUGCAAGUCGAGCGAACAGACGAGGAGCUUGCUCCCCUGACGUUAGCGGCGGACGGGUGAGUAACACGUGGAUAACCUACCUAUCAGACUGGGAUAACUUCGGGAAACCGGAGCUAAUACCGGAUAAUAUAUUGCACCGCAUGGUUCAAUAGUGAAAGACGGUUUUGCUGUCACUUAUAGAUGGAUCAGCGCCGCAUUAGCUAGUUGGUGAGGUAACGGCUUACCAAGGCGACGAUGCGUAGCCGACCUGAGAGGGUGAUCGGCCACACUGGAACUGAGACACGGUCCAGACUCCUACGGGAGGCAGCAGUCGGGAAUCUUCCGCAAGGGGGGAAAGCCUGAUAGAGCAACGCCGCGUGAGUGAUGAAGGAGUUCGGAUGGGAAAGCGCUGUUGUUAGGAAAGAACAAAAGCGUAAUUACCUAGGCACGUCUUGACGGUACCGAAACAAAAAGCCACGGCUAACUACGUG
RNAcentral lists this ribosomal RNA (497 nucleotides) under uncultured bacterium. Its description in RNAcentral is "partial 16S ribosomal RNA". It matches the Rfam family "Bacterial small subunit ribosomal RNA", at positions 28 to 507 of the family's 1533-position model. The record is from RNAcentral.